CUGCGAAUCUUCUCGCUGUUCUGGUUCUGUGAUAACCAGGGCAGGCUAGACAUUCGCUACAGGAAGGCCAUGCAUGUGUCCCCAGACCUAGGUCUGUACCUAGGCCUGGUUUUCUAGAUGCUGGUGACAAGA
RNAcentral lists this small nucleolar RNA (132 nucleotides) under Microtus ochrogaster (prairie vole). Its description in RNAcentral is "Small nucleolar RNA SNORA72 (ENSMOCG00000003685.1)". It matches the Rfam family "Small nucleolar RNA SNORA72". From Rfam's summary of the family: U72 is a member of the H/ACA class of snoRNAs. The snoRNA gene is located in intron 4 of the ribosomal L30 protein gene in human, mouse and chicken. The record is from Rfam by way of RNAcentral. Lineage: Eukaryota; Metazoa; Chordata; Mammalia; Rodentia; Cricetidae.